CCUCCUUUUCUUGGCGGUGGCCGGGCGUGUGAUCCCGGUCUCCGUUAUGUACGGAGGCAAAGGGAGAGGGCUCUGGUCCCCUCGGCGUCAUGUCUUCGGUGCCGGUGGCUUCCGGUCCGCCGGUUCUAUCCUCAAGCGCCGAGACACGG
This 149-nucleotide small nucleolar RNA is filed under the name Procavia capensis (Cape rock hyrax). RNAcentral's name for it is "Small nucleolar RNA SNORA57 (ENSPCAG00000018916.1)". It matches the Rfam family "Small nucleolar RNA SNORA57". From Rfam's summary of the family: U99 belongs to the H/ACA class of snoRNAs which are thought to guide the sites of modification of uridines to pseudouridines, the target for this family is unknown. The record is from RNAcentral. Lineage: Eukaryota; Metazoa; Chordata; Mammalia; Hyracoidea; Procaviidae.